Molecule: ribosomal RNA, 460 nt
Filed under: uncultured bacterium
Lineage: Bacteria
Description: bacterial SSU rRNA
Rfam family: Bacterial small subunit ribosomal RNA
Source: RNAcentral
GACGACGCUGGCGGCGUGCUUAACACAUGCAAGUCGAACGGACUGUUAGUGAAAGCUUGCUGGAUCUAACAGUUAGUGGCGGACGGGUGAGUAACACGUGAGAACCUAUCCCGACCCGGGGGACAACAGGUGGAAACGCCUGCUAAUACCCCAUAGGCGCAGAGAUGCGUGAAAGGAGCAAUCCGGGGAGGGAGGGGCUCGCGGCCUAUCAGCUAGUAGGUGGGGUAACGGCCCACCUAGGCGAUGACGGGUAGCCGGCCUGAGAGGGCGCACGGCCACACUGGAACUGAGACACGGUCCAGACUCCUACGGGAGGCAGCAGUGGGGAAUCUUGGGCAAUGGGGGGAACCCUGACCCAGCGACGCCGCGUGAGGGACGAAAUCCCUUGGGAUGUAAACCUCUGUUGUGCGGGACGAAGGACGUGACGGUACCGCACGAGGAAGCCCCGGCAAACUACGUG